AUCUUUCUACCAUUAAGAGGAAGUUAGACACUGGACAGUAUCAGGAGCCCUGGCAAUAUGUCGAUGAUAUUUGGCUGAUGUUCAAUAAUGCCUGGUUAUAUAACCGGAAAACAUCACGGGUAUACAAAUACUGCUCCAAGCUCUCUGAGGUCUUUGAACAAGAAAUUGACCCAGUGAUGCAAAGCCUUGGAUACUGUUGUGGCAGAAAGUUGGAGUUCUCUCCACAGACACUGUGUUGCUACGGCAAACAGUUGUGCACAAUACCUCGUGAUGCCACUUAUUACAGUUACCAGAACAGGUAAGCUUGGCCAGGUGUGGACCAUGGUCCAUGUGUCCACAUGUCCAGGGAGUGCAUGCGGAUGGGCCAGCACACAUAGAGUCAUGGUUCAUGUGUAUCUUGCU
RNAcentral lists this small RNA (402 nucleotides) under Pongo abelii (Sumatran orangutan). RNAcentral's name for it is "retained intron". The record is from RNAcentral. Lineage: Eukaryota; Metazoa; Chordata; Mammalia; Primates; Hominidae.